UCUGACUUUGGGGCACAGGUACGGUACAUGUUGGAGAAUGCCACAAAGCAGUGGGGUUGUCAUUUUCAUUGAGGGGAAUGAAUAGUUACUUCCUAAUUAUACUGUAAUCAGAUUUCAUAGAGCUACUGGGAGAAAUGGGAUGUGCAGCAUUGAAUAAUCUCUAAUAUUCUGUCUGUUCACAGACGGUUAGGCAGAAGAUGGCGAUUAACCCUUUCUGAAAAAUGAACAUGUAACAUGAAAUAAGCAAAGGACUUAACAAAAGAAGACUGCUUUGUGGACUUUCAGUUCAUCCUUUUUCUCCCGCUUGUAUGACUUUUACACCAUAUGCUACACCUGCGAGUUCGCUGAAAUUUUGUAGAUAUUGACCUUGUCCUGAGAAACAGUCUCAGAAUCAGAUGUCUGUAUAAUCUGUUGAAAUCUAUACUAAUCUACUAUACUAAACAUGAAAUAAGAUGAAACUGUUUGGUUUUCUGUGUGAAUCAUACUUAAGGAAACUAGUUAAAUUUAUGAUGGGUUGUAAAUUUUAUUCUUUUGCCCUUCUAUUUAGGUGUUUAUUUAACUAAAGGAAGAGCAUCUCCGCCAAGAACAAUCUGGAUAGUCACAGAAUAGAACAAUAGCAAAUGGAAUAAUCAAUAAGCACAAAUUAAAUCUGUCCAGUAUAAAGAAGUAGUAGAACAGUGCCCUUUGUUUUAGGUUCCACUGCUUGAAAUUUUUUAAGAGAAACAGGUUUGAGAAUUGGGGGUAGAAUGGCUUCCUUCACAUACAGAAGUCUCUGUUUAAUUAUUUUUCUGCUUCUUUUCUAGCUCAAGUCAGCUGAAGGAGGUUGUUUUCAAAUGUUUCAAGAGAGGAAGGAAGGAUGGUAGUAGGAGAUACAGCCCCUACUUCAAAAUCAGCGCAAGUGAUAAAUAUAGCAAAUGAUUACAAAGCAAAAGGAUAGAGAUCGUUGGAAGGAACAGUCUUCAUGUCAUCCAUAUAAAGCCAAGACGUCAUGUCAGACUGAAGCUAAUCUGCAAACUGUGAAGUCUUGAAAGAUUAGUUUUCAAUCCAACAGCACCCUCAGAUUUGGGUAAGUAAGCUAAGCUCGGCUCCCUCAAUAUGCAGAUUGCAGGUUUCCAGUUAGAGUUCCCCCUUUCCCUUCUCAUAUACUUAGGGAUCCAGAAUUCUGCUAGCAUUUUUUUCCUAUUUCCUUUUGA
Molecule: long non-coding RNA, 1193 nt
Filed under: Pogona vitticeps (central bearded dragon)
Lineage: Eukaryota; Metazoa; Chordata; Lepidosauria; Squamata; Agamidae
Description: lncRNA (ENSPVIG00000014987.1)
Source: RNAcentral